UACGGAGGGUGCGAGCGUUGUCCGGAAUCACUGGGCGUAAAGGGCGCGUAGGCGGCCUGAUAAGUAGGGGGUGAAAUCCUGCGGCUUAACCGCAGGGCUGCCUUCUAAACUGUCAGGCUCGAGCACAGUAGAGGCAGGUGGAAUUCCCGGUGUAGCGGUGGAAUGCGUAGAGAUCAGGAGGAACACCGAUAGCGAAGGCAGCUCGCUGGGACGGUACUGACGCUGAGGCGCGAAAGCGUGGGGAGCGAACAGG
This 253-nucleotide ribosomal RNA is filed under the name uncultured bacterium. Its description in RNAcentral is "partial 16S ribosomal RNA". It matches the Rfam family "Bacterial small subunit ribosomal RNA", at positions 524 to 776 of the family's 1533-position model. The record is from RNAcentral.